UUUAUGAAAGUCCCUUCUGCCAGCACACAUACCUCAAACCACCCUUGGAGAAUUUCUUGUCUCUCCCAGCAACCAAGACCUCAUCCGACGAGCUUCCUGCUUAAAACCUCGCCCGACGACCAUGCAAACUUUUCUUACUUAAAUUCUUAUUCUUUGCCUCUCCUUCACUUCGUUGGGCGAGCUCGCCCUCACUUUGCUCCUUCUCGCUGGGCGAGCUUG
Molecule: long non-coding RNA, 219 nt
Filed under: Lathyrus oleraceus (garden pea)
Lineage: Eukaryota; Viridiplantae; Streptophyta; Magnoliopsida; Fabales; Fabaceae
Description: Pisum sativum (pea) long non-coding RNA (PSAT_LNC028805)
Source: RNAcentral